AAGAUGCCGGCCGGGAAGGCA
Molecule: unclassified non-coding RNA, 21 nt
Filed under: Chlamydomonas reinhardtii
Lineage: Eukaryota; Viridiplantae; Chlorophyta; Chlorophyceae; Chlamydomonadales; Chlamydomonadaceae
Description: small RNA Cre_0104
Source: RNAcentral